This 403-nucleotide ribosomal RNA is filed under the name uncultured bacterium. RNAcentral's name for it is "bacterial SSU rRNA". It matches the Rfam family "Bacterial small subunit ribosomal RNA", at positions 355 to 774 of the family's 1533-position model. The record is from RNAcentral.
UGAGGAGUAUUGCUCAAUGGGCGAAAGCCUGAAGCAGCAACGCCGCGUGCGCGAUGAAGGUCUUCGGAUCGUAAAGCGCUUUUGAGAGGGACGAGAUAGGACGGUACCUCUUGAAUAAGUCACGGCUAACUACGUGCCAGCAGCCGCGGUAAAACGUAGGUGGCAAGCGUUAUCCGGAUUCACUGGGCGUAAAGCGCGUGCAGGUGGCUUCGUAAGUUGGACGUUAAAUCUUUCGGCCUAACCGGGAGGUGUCGUUCAAUACUGCGGGGCUUGAGGGUAGAAGAGGGGGGUGGAAUUGCCGGUGUAGUGGUGAAAUGCGUAGAUAUCGGCAGGAACACCUGUGGCGAAAGCGGCCCCCUGGUCUGCUCCUGACACUCAGACGCGAAAGCUAGGGGAGUGAACG